CUACGGGCGGCUGCAGUGGGGAAUAUUGGGCAAUGGGCGAAAGCCUGACCCAGCAACGCCGCGUGAUUGAAGAAGGUCUUCGGAUUGUAAAAAUCUGUCCUUGGGGACGAAAAAAAUGACGGUACCCAAGGAGGAAGCCCCGGCUAACUACGUGCCAGCAGCCGCGGUAAUACGUAGGGGGCGAGCGUUGUCCGGAAUUACUGGGCGUAAAGGGUGCGCAGGCGGCGUGUUAAGUCAGAUGUGAAAUACCCAGGCUUAACCUGGGGGGUGCAUUUGAAACUGGAGUGCUUGAGUGCAGGAGAGGAAAGUGGAAUUCCUAGUGUAGCGGUGAAAUGCGUAGAUAUUAGGAGGAACACCAGUGGCGAAGGCGACUUUCUGGACUGUAACUGACGCUGAGGCACGAAAGCGUGGGGAGCAAACAGGAUUAGAUACCCCAGUAGUC
This 442-nucleotide ribosomal RNA is filed under the name uncultured bacterium. Its description in RNAcentral is "partial 16S ribosomal RNA". It matches the Rfam family "Bacterial small subunit ribosomal RNA", at positions 339 to 795 of the family's 1533-position model. The record is from RNAcentral.